Long non-coding RNA from Anneissia japonica, 1319 nucleotides. RefSeq lists it as uncharacterized. Lineage: Eukaryota; Metazoa; Echinodermata; Crinoidea; Comatulida; Comatulidae. The transcript is spliced from 2 exons. The record is from RefSeq and is a predicted model, not a curated record.
AGCUUGAAGCAAUAGCAACUGGUUUUGGUGAUUUAACAUUAGCAGCGUUCACUGUGGGAAGAAAUGUCUUGGGAAUGAACAACACCAAUCGAUAAACUGGAUUACAAUUGCUCAGUUCAACCGGACUUUAUACAUUGCAUUGUGACAUUUUUUUCUGUUAAUAAUAAUACAGGAAUUUUUACUGCACACUUUUCCCCUUUUGUCAUCUAAUAUUUUCAUUUAUCUACUCAAUAGAUACAAUUGGUAACUUGAUUCACAUGACCUUUAGUUGGUACAACAUUGUAUACGGACAUAUUGUAUUAUUAAGCUUGGUAUAGGAAAAUGCAUGGAUCUGUUGGAGUGUUUCUACAGUAAGGUUUAUCAUCAGAUGUUUUUGGGCAGAUAAUUGUCCUUGAUAGCUCACACUGGAAUAAAAAUUGAACUAAACUGAAUAAUCUUGGUUAAAAAGCUAGUAAAAUACUCAAAAUUGCUUGGAAAUUGAACAUGACGACAUUGUCAGAAUGGUUUUCUCGGGGGUUCUCUGUUUCUCCAAAAGAUACUGCCCCAAAUAUUGAAGUGUUAAACUUAUAUCAGAUAGAUUUAGGCACUAUGAAAAUCAUUGAUCUGACUCUUGUAAUAAUCGAACCGUAGGACUCUAGGCUACCUCUGCAGGCUCACAAAAAAUAUUUUUGAACUUCAAAUCCUAAAAUGCAUAUAGUGCAAAGAAUUUGAACAGUACAUACAGUUAUUAACAAACUGCCUUUUCCAUAUUACUUUGUUGUUGGUUUUAAGUCCACAACAUUGCAUAUUACUUUGUUGUUGGUUUUAAACCACAACAUUGAAAAUCCUUAUAUUAUUUCCUGAUCGUACUGUAUAUUGUACCAACUGAACAUCAUAUUACUACUACUUGUUCUGGGUCACCUAUUAUGUCUGUUAGUAUUAGACGUUUAUUGAAGCGUAUAAAGUCAAUGUAUUAUGCGCUAUAAAAAAUCAACAUCAAUUUAAACUCUUAGGUACACUAUGAUAUAAAUUAUAAAUAGAUUAUCAGCCCUGCCACAUCACUGUUGAUAUCAUAUUCUCACAAUUGACAGACUUCUGUAUCCAUGGACAAGGGAAAAACCCCAUCUAUAAAUCAAUCUAUAAUGUAUACAAAAAAUGUGGUUGGGAUAUUUUCCCUUGCUUACAUUAUUGUUAGUAGUGUAAUAACUUUUUUUUAUAAAAAUUUUGUUUAUAUUAUAUAUCUUGUCAAGUGAACUUGACAAGGCUUCACAUAAGACUUCUAUAAUUGAUUGUACUACUGCAUUUCAAUAUUCAAUAAAAAAAAAAUGGUUGUCUCUUAA